Molecule: ribosomal RNA, 636 nt
Filed under: uncultured bacterium
Lineage: Bacteria
Description: bacterial SSU rRNA
Rfam family: Bacterial small subunit ribosomal RNA
Source: RNAcentral
GACGCUGGGCGGCGAGCCUCAUACAUGCAAGUCGGGCGGUUGUAGCAAUACAGCAGCGGCGGCCGGGUGAGUAACACGUGGGCAACCUGGCCUUAAGAGGGGGAUAACGUCUCGAAAGGGACGCUAAUACCGCGUAACGCAAAGAGAUCGCAUGAUUUCAUUGCAAAAGGAGCAAUCCGCUUAAGGAUGGGCCCGCGGCCUAUUAGCUAGUUGGUAAGGGUAACGGCCUACCAAGGCGACGAUAGGUAGCCGACCUGAGAGGGUGAACGGCCACACUGGAACUGAGAAACGGUCCAGACUCCUACGGGAGGCAGCAGUAGGGAAUAUUCCGCAAUGGGCGAAAGCCUGACGGAGCAACGCCGCGUGAGUGAAGAAGAUCUUCGGAUUGUAAAGCUCUGUCAACAGGGACGAUGAUGACGGUACCUGAGAAGGAAGCCACGGCAAACUACGUGCCAGCAGCCGCGGUAAUACGUAGGUGGCAAGCGUUGUCCGGAAUAACUGGGCGUAAAGCGCAUGUAGACGGCAUAGCAAGCCAAGUGUGAAAUUUAGAGGCUUAACCUCUAAACUGCGCUUGGAACUGCUGAGCUUGAGUGCAGGAGAGGCAAGUGGAAUUCCCAGUGUAGCAGUGAAAUGCGU